This 762-nucleotide long non-coding RNA is filed under the name Equus asinus (donkey). Its description in RNAcentral is "lncRNA (ENSEASG00005032259.1)". Lineage: Eukaryota; Metazoa; Chordata; Mammalia; Perissodactyla; Equidae. The record is from RNAcentral.
CCGGCCAGGGUUGCCGUGCAUGUGGCCGGACAGGGCGGGAGAGGACAUCUGGGGUUUUAGGGUCGCACGUGGUGCUUGCAGUCCCCACAAGAGGUUUUCCCCGACGGGUUCCGGCAGCCACGGUGUGCAGGGGGUCCAGGAACGCUGAGAUAAUGGCCCAGGAAGAGGAAGGAACGCGGGUGGCAGCGAUGGGACCUGGGAUGUUGAGGGUGACAGUGGCGAGGCCCAGAACCGGGGGCUGGGCAGGCGGCCUGGCCACAUGAGGAGGGAAAUCCUUGUAUCCGGGGGUCCAUGGCCAGGUAGGGAGGAAGCAGGGAGUCACAUAGAGGGGUGGAAGUGAGUGUAGGGGGAAGGGGCCCUGGCCACGCAGGAAAGGAGGAGAGGGCCCUUGACAGCAGGGAGUCCUGGCGCCUGCAGAGGUGACUGGCAACUGGCAUGCCAGAUUUGAAGUUGGAAAACUGUUAGAUGGCUCAAAAAGUGACUCUCCCGAAGAUGAAGACACGUGUCAAAAUGAUCAAGCACAGACCAUCCCCACCAGCUUCCUUGGUUAUAGCUGAUGAAAGUCUCAGGAGAAUCUCCAGCAGAGAAGGAAUUGCUGUACAAGCAAUAUCUGCCAUUUGCAACAAUGGAUGAAUCUAGAGGACAUUGUGCAGAGUGAAAUUAGCCAGACAGAGAAAGACAAAUACUGCAUCAUCUCACUUAUAUGUGGAAUCUAAAAAAAAAAGUUGAACUCAUAGAAAGAGAUAAUGCUGGUUCCCAGGA